AUUGAACGCUGGCGGCAGGCUUAACACAUGCAAGUCGAGCGGAGACUUCGGUCUUAGCGGCGAACGGGUGAGUAAUACCUAGGAAUCUGCCUAUUAGUGGGGGAUAACGAAUCGAAAGGUUCGCUAAUACCGCAUACGUCCUACGGGAGAAAGGGGGGGGUCUUCGGACCUCUCGCUAAUAGAUGAGCCUAGGCCGGAUUAGCUAGUUGGUAGGGUAAAGGCCUACCAAGGCGACGAUCGGUAGCUGGUCUGAGAGGAUGAUCAGCCACACUGGGACUGAGACACGGCCCAGACUCCUACGGGAGGCAGCAGUGGGGAAUAUUGGACAAUGGGCGCAAGCCUGAUCCAGCAAUGCCGCGUGUGUGAAGAAGGCCUGCGGGUUGUAAAGCACUUUUGUUCGGGAAGAAAUCAUGCUGGUUAAUACCUGGUAUGGAUGACGGUACCGAAAGAAUAAGCACCGGCUAACUUCGUGCCAGCAGCCGCGGUAAGUACAGUGU
RNAcentral lists this ribosomal RNA (497 nucleotides) under uncultured bacterium. RNAcentral describes it as "bacterial SSU rRNA". It matches the Rfam family "Bacterial small subunit ribosomal RNA", at positions 30 to 533 of the family's 1533-position model. The record is from RNAcentral.